UGGGGAAUAUUGGACAAUGGGCGCAAGCCUGAUCCAGCCAUGCCGCGUGAGUGAUGAAGGCCCUAGGGUUGUAAAGCUCUUUCACCGGUGAAGCGGUAACCGGAGAAGAAGCCCCGGCUAACUUCGUGCCAGCAGCCGCGGUAAUACGAAGGGGGCUAGCGUUGUUCGGAAUUACUGGGCGUAAAGCGCACGUAGGCGGAUUGUUAAGUUAGGGGUGAAAUCCCAGGGCUCAACCCUGGAACUGCCUCUAAUACUGGCAAUCUUGAGUUCGAGAGAGGUGAGUGGAAUUCCGAGUGUAGAGGUGAAAUUCGUAGAUAUUCGGAGGAACACCAGUGGCGAAGGCGGCUCACUGGCUCGAUACUGACGCUGAGGUGCGAAAGCGUGGGGAGC
This 390-nucleotide ribosomal RNA is filed under the name uncultured bacterium. Its description in RNAcentral is "bacterial SSU rRNA". It matches the Rfam family "Bacterial small subunit ribosomal RNA", at positions 355 to 769 of the family's 1533-position model. The record is from RNAcentral.